This 534-nucleotide ribosomal RNA is filed under the name Maxillicosta whitleyi. RNAcentral describes it as "partial 16S large subunit ribosomal RNA". It matches the Rfam family "Bacterial large subunit ribosomal RNA", at positions 156 to 1038 of the family's 2925-position model. Lineage: Eukaryota; Metazoa; Chordata; Actinopteri; Perciformes; Neosebastidae. The record is from RNAcentral.
AGCCCAACAGCUAGCCCAACAAAACCAAUAACAACAAGUCACUAUAAAUAACCCCAGAAACACAAACGUUUACGUUAAACAAACCAUUUUUCCCCCUUAGUAUGGGCGACAGAAAAGGGAUCCCGGAGCAAUAGAGAAAGUACCGCAAGGGACUGCUGAAAGAGAAGUGAAAUAACCCAGUAAAGCCGAAAGAAGCAGAGCUAUACACUCGUACCUUUUGCAUCAUGAUUUAGCCAGUGUUAUCCAAGCAAAGUGUGCUUUAGUUUGAUAACCCGAAACUAAGUGAGCUACUCCAAGACAGCCUAUUAGUAGGGCAAACCCGUCUCUGUGGCAAAAGAGUGGGAAGAGCUUUGAGUAGAGGUGACAGACCUACCGAACUUAGUUAUAGCUGGUUGCCCGGGAAUUGGAUAGAAGUUCAGCCUCCCGGCUUUUCUCUUCACUUGGACUCACCCCUUACUGNUNCCACAAGAAACCGUGAGAGUUAUUCAAAGGGGGUACAGCCCCUUUGAAAUAAGACACAACUUUCCCGGGNGG